Long non-coding RNA from Gorilla gorilla gorilla (western lowland gorilla), 1867 nucleotides. RefSeq lists it as uncharacterized. The record is from RefSeq and is a predicted model, not a curated record. The transcript has 6 exons. NCBI's taxonomy places the organism in Eukaryota, Metazoa, Chordata, Mammalia, Primates, Hominidae.
AGCUUUGGGGCAGAUACCUACCUACCUACCUACCUUCCUUCCUUCCUUCCUUCCUUCCUUCCUUCCUUCCUUCCUUCCUUCCUUCCUUCCUUCCUUCCUUCCUAUGGAGAUAUUGUUACAGGGAGGCCUAUGGGAUCCUGCCUAACUAGUUUUGGAGGCAAAUGCUAUGUGGGGGCUUGUAGGAGGCAGCGCUGUGCUUGCUGGAGUUAAGCUCUAACCUGAGUUGGGUUUGCAUCCAGCUGCUGGUUGGUCCAGGGAGGUCUCCAGCUGCUGCUUGGAAACCAACAAAAACAGUAGUGAGUUCCAGAAACGUUGGAGUAAGGUGGUGACUUGGUGAUAAAAAGUCUUUCUGGAGGAAAGGGAAAACACUCCCAUUUUAUUAUCUGUGAAAUCUGGUGGCCAAUGAAACCACUUCCCACUGACUUGGGUGGGGAAGGCAGAUACUUAGAUUCACGUUCCCAAAGGAGAACAUUAUGCAAUGGAAGAUGUAGCUUCGCAGUAUAUCCCACUCUGUCAGGACUCUGUGCUGCACAUAAACUCUGAUGUGAAAGGCAUUCUUCCUCCCUGGGAUUGUGCAGUUCCCAGGCUGGGCAGCUGUAUACUCUAGCCCUGGAUAGGUUGAUUUGUUUGCUAGCAGGUAUACAGAGAUAAUGCAUUUUAUAUGCAGCGUUAGUGUCUUUUAAAAAGAGAAAGCUGAAAAAGCCUGAAGACAUAAAAAACAAUCUAUUCACUCCUGCACCUCUCCCUUCUGCAGACACAGAACUUCCCUGGCAGCUCUGAUCUGGGGGCUUCCUGUAGGUGCGAAGACCUGGUUCUUCAGACUCCAUCCAUGGAAGGAGGGAACACCAGUCACGGGGAGGUGGGCUCUGCACUGGGUUCCAGACACAGCAAAACAGGGCCUGGCAUAGAUGCCUUGUUUGAGGUGUAGUGUGAAUCCAUUAGCACUGAACUCAGGACCAGCAACGGUGUGACUCAGGCCUGAAGGAAGCUUUUCUAGCACAUGGAUUUCCUCUUGCCUGUUCUAACACGUGCCAUUUGGGAUCCCUUGGAAUCUUCAUGUACAGAACUGGUUGCUGCCUCAUUGAGUUGGUGGGGACAGAAUAGCUCCUGGUUGACAGCAUGGGUUGUGCAGAAGGACGGAUCCUGCAGACAUCAAUAUCUGGCUUUGAGUGGCACAAAGAAAUAAAGGAAUGUGGAUUCAGACCUCACUGGGAUGCUUGGCAAUUCUAAUUCUACCCCAGACUGCAAAUGGACACACAACUGUUGUGACUUUUGUUGAAGAGAAGGAUGGUGAAGGUCUCUUUAGUCAAUAAUCUCUUUGCUGAAAUUGCUUCGGGCAGCACAGAAGCUGGAUUCAGAAGCACACAGGUCUGGGGAUGCAGGCUUCGGCCAGCCUGAUGCAAGGAAAGACUGCCAUCUCGUGGUCAGCUCAAUCCUGGCACCUUGGUGAGGGUCCAGGCUGCAGAAAACCAGGCUUGGGGAGGAAAUGGUGCUGCAAACUGGAUUUCUGCCGGACAGUGUGGAUGCCCUUAGAAAACACCCAGAAAAGAGCUGAGUGCCCCCCAAGGUAGGCUUCAGUGAAUCCUCUGCAGGUGUGUUGUCAUCCCUUGAGCCAAACACAAGCUUCACACACACGCUGCAGGCUGCGUGAAAAUGAGGUAGAAAUGUGGGGAAAGCAUAAUCCCAUGGAGAGAACAAAGAGCUGAACACGUAAAUGCCUCCGGCGUGCCUGGCAGAGAGAACACUCAGGCUGAGAGAAGGGACAGUGACUUGUACCAAAGACUUGCCCUGAAUUCUUUCCUGUGCAAUAUCCUAAAACCCUCUCUUGGGGCCUGGAUCAGGACCCCUUUCCUAUAACAUCUUUCUG